AUUGCUUUUGCAAGAUGUUGAUUAUUUUUUCCUUUUGCAUUUGACAAAGCUUAGAAAUUGGGCAAAAAUGUCUUUCUUGUAAUAGUGUUAGGUUAGUUUUAAUAAUGAGUCAACUGUGGAUGUUUUAAACAUUUGCAGUAAAUUCAUCUUUGAGUCUAGAUAGAUGCUGCAUCAUACCCAAAUUAAAAUACACACACACAGGUUAUGGAAUGCUCAGAAAAUGGAAAAAAUAAACUGCUCGAUUGAAUUCAGCUUUCAUGUAUUUAAUAUUUUGGUGAUUGAGAUUAUCAUCAGAGAGGAGAGGGGGCUUAGAAAUAGAACAACUUGUGCCUUUGGGUAGGAGUUUGAAUUUUGAGUCGAAGCACAAUGGAAUAUUUUGCCUGAAUUUUUGGUUCUAAACAUUUGUGUUUGCUAUAUUAAGAAAAGUUUUCUCCAGCAAAUUUCUUGAAUUUGUCAUUAUUCCAUUUGAUUUGCUUCUUCCUUUAUCUCUGCCUCGCUUAUUACAGACAAUUUACAAGGAGAAAGGGGGAAAAAAACCACUUUGAUUCAUUUGGACACAGGUUUUAAUGACUUAACAUUUUACUGUAUACUUCUGAUAACACAGUAAAAAAAUUAGAUUACUUUCGAGGAACAAAAUUAAUCUUGGUAUUUUUAAAAGCAACAUUCCCAUGAUAAUUCAGGACAGCAAAAUGAAAACAAACCAAAGAACUAAAGAUUAAUUCUUGCAAAUAGUUAAAUGCACAUCAUAAAAAUUAAAGAUAUCUCCACGGUUUCUGAAGUGAAAGAGUUCCCAUAAAAACCAGGAAGCAUCCAGAGACGUGUGCAGCGUUCACACUUUAAUGAAGAUUUUUUUCAGGAAUCACACGAUAGUAGUAUCCAUAUGUAAGCAACAUGGGCAGCAGUGGUAACUUGUUUUCAUCCCAUAGAACUCAUUUUAACAGCUGAACUUGGCACUAAGGAAUCCACACCAAGUCUUACUUCCAAGAAAUUUCAAGUAAGCUAUUACAGAUAGCUUACGGAAUUUGAAUACAGAAUUUGAAUCUCUACGUGUGCAGCUAUGAGUGAAGGUUUUUAAUGCUCAGACCCAUAAAGGCACAUUUUUAUUAUGAUUCCAGCACUAUCAUCCGAGUAACAGAAAACAUUUCCCCUAUAUCUCAUUUUGACUUCCUUUCUUUGAGCGUAGCCUGUUUGAUAAUUCAGUAAUUACCUUUCACCUCAAAGUUGUCUCUUUUUAAUUUUUUAAAAGAUUCUUUUAACAUACUAAGGCUCCCUAAUUUCACUGGCAGCAUUCAGUUAAGUGAACCAUUUGGUUAAGACCCUAAAUGCAAUUCAACAUUUUCCCUAACUACUUGCAAACAGAAGCCAGUUGGGGACCAUGAACUAACUAUAUAACAUUUACAAGUGCUGCUAGCCUUUCACUGUCCAUAGCCUCCCCAUAUCCCUGUAGCCCAGAGAUCUAUCAAUUGAAACAGCCAGACAGUGGUCAAGAUUUCUUCAUAGGCCCCCUGUCUGGAGCACACAUUUGUUCUGUGUUCAUGAACUUGAUGUAUAGCUGUGGAAUCAAAGACACACAUUCAUCAUCAAGGAAGCCAGUGUUUUAUCUAGGAGCUGUAAGUCUGCUGAUAAGUACAAAGAAAAGAACGGCACCCCAGAGAAGAAGGGAAAGAAGAAAGAUGGGGAGCUAGCAGUGGGUAAAACCGAACAAAGGAUUAUGGAGUACUACACAGAAGCAAUUCAUCCAAGAACCUGGGCUACAACGGUGUUAUCUUUCAUUAUCAAACUUCUCUUACCCCUCCUUAGGGGCCUACUGCAUGACCUUACAGAGAGUAGGUACCAAUAUUCACCACUACUGGGUCACACCAACCAUCUGUGUCCUUCUCACUUGGGGGAUACGGGGGGAAGAACGAAGGGGGACAUGCGGGGCACACAAGACAGGCCCUUCUUCUCCACACUCUUCUGACUAACCUUCUUGAGCCCCAUCUUCCUUCUGUCUGGAUUUUGGUAUUUAGCUCGGGCCCAUUGAAGUGUCUCAAAAAAUUUAUUUCUCUUACAGGCCCCCAAACAAAACCAGUAUUCAUUUUCCAAGAUGGAAUCACAAGAGAAAUAUAAAAAUCUAACUGCACAUAGUAUAAAUAAACAUGGUAUGGGAACAUGAGAGCGGAACACAACGGCCUGACACAGGCGAGAGAGACAAUCCAGCAUAACAAAUAGUAAGUUGUGCUUCGCCCGUGGCAUUUUCUGGCUCCAUCAAUAAUUAUAUAAUACAACAGUCACUGAUUUCUCAGCCCUGGAUCAAUAAUGGGUUUCACAUCCCCUCCAGAGCUGGUUGUUGACCAAGGUGCUUGCUCAGACCCCCCACCCCAUCCAUGGCAAAAAUCAAUUCUUGCAUAACUGCUUGUGUGCUUGGAAUGCCAGCAUCAGAGCAAUGUUGAGUUUAAGAGCAACUGCAGCAUCACAAUGAUUCCCCAUGUGCCUCCGGAAAGCCCUACAGCUCAACAAGUAGUUUCCAAGCAAAGUCCUCAGCCCAAAAGACACGAUACAGCGGGACCUUCCAAAACACAACAGCAGCGACCACAAGUACACUCCUAGGUCCAGAGCACACUGUGGCUGGAGGCCGGGAGUCCUGUCUUCCGAUUAGCAUAUCUCCUGUGUCCUAUCACAGGAGGGGACAGUGCGGCAUUCUAGGUGCUUAGCACCGCAGGAGGGGAGUGCCACCGGGGGAUUGGAUGCCUCCUCUGACUUCUGGCCCCAAAAUAUUGCCCCACAUCCUACAAAACCUCAAAAGUCAAUUACAACACAUCACAAAAUGUAUUUUUCAAAAUGUAAAGAGGCUCCAUUUCUUUAAACCCAGUGAUACUUUUUCAGGCGUGCGCAUACAUGAAAAGCGCCACUAGUUGUAUGUACUCAACACCAAAAAGGGAAGAGAUGUAGUCAUCGCUUUAAUCUCAUCAAGACAGAUGGCCAAACUUGAUAUGGAGAUGCCAAAGUAGAUUUUAAAAAUUGAAUUACUCACUUUGGUUGUCUGCCUUGAUUUAGUUAACUAGACAAUGGCCCCAAAUUGUAAAAUCCUGGAACAGUAGCAUGUAAAUGAGGGCAAAAUUGUGAAAUAGUUUGUUUUAGCUUCUAUUGCUCACUUCUCUACAGGGGCUCCUGGCAUGAAAAUGUCAGAGGAAUGCAUCAUACACAUUAAGAGUUUUCAUUUUUCAGUUUAAAAAAAAAAAAACAAUGAAACUUAGAAUGAGUGAGUUGUCCAAGGUCAUGAGCAGCCUCAGCAUCUCAUGGGCACAGGGCCUGUGUGCUUUUCACAGUGCCAAACCUCCUAAGCUAAAAAAUACAUUUGUGGGUUCUAAAACCAUGUCCCUAAUUUGCCAUCCCUCCCUCUCCCCAUUUAAAAAAAAAUCCCUUAGUGCUUAUGAAAACUGAGAAAGAAUAAGCCUCAUUCAUGUA
RNAcentral lists this long non-coding RNA (3447 nucleotides) under Canis lupus familiaris (dog). RNAcentral's name for it is "lncRNA (ENSCAFG00000052038.1)". The record is from RNAcentral. Lineage: Eukaryota; Metazoa; Chordata; Mammalia; Carnivora; Canidae.